CGGCCCGAGCGGAGAAACGGGCGGCGACGCCGCCUCGCAAGGGGAGGUCCUGCCGCAGGAGUGCCUAGCGGGUGUCGUUCCCCCCCCCCCCAAAUUAAUGCGGGCUACGAGAAAAACACAUAGGCCGGGAGGCCGAGGGACACCGUAAAAAUCAGCCCUGAGUCCAGGGAGUUCAUGACAGCUGCCUUCAUAAGAGAUACCCUAGUAAGGAUGACAGAUUAUGAAGCCUACAAAGUUAGAGAUGGUCAGCAAGUGAAGGCAUCGUUGAUAGAAUAGAAGCUGUUUUUGUAAAUACCAAUACCAG
This 304-nucleotide long non-coding RNA is filed under the name Apteryx owenii (little spotted kiwi). RNAcentral describes it as "lncRNA (ENSAOWG00000003019.1)". Lineage: Eukaryota; Metazoa; Chordata; Aves; Apterygiformes; Apterygidae. The record is from RNAcentral.